This 460-nucleotide ribosomal RNA is filed under the name uncultured bacterium. Its description in RNAcentral is "partial 16S ribosomal RNA". It matches the Rfam family "Bacterial small subunit ribosomal RNA", at positions 338 to 795 of the family's 1533-position model. The record is from RNAcentral.
CCUACGGGUGGCAGCAGUGAGGAAUAUUGGUCAAUGGACGAGAGUCUGAACCAGCCAAGUAGCGUGCAGGAUGACUGCCCUAUGGGUUGUAAACUUCUUUUAUAUGGGGAUAAAACGUUCCACGUGUGGGAUUUUGUAUGUACCAUAUGAAUAAGGAUCGGCUAACUCCGUGCCAGCAGCCGCGGUAAUACGGAGGAUCCGAGCGUUAUCCGGAUUUAUUGGGUUUAAAGGGAGCGUAGGUGGAUUGUUAAGUCAGUUGUGAAAGCUUGAGGCUCAACCUUAAAAUUGCAGUUGAAACUGGCAGUCUUGAGUAUAGUAGAGGUAGGCGGAAUGUGUGGUGUAGCGGUGAAAUGCUUAGAGAUCACGCAGAACUCCGAUUGCGAAGGCAGUUCACUGGACUGCAACUGACACUGAGGCUCGAAAGUGUGGGUAUCAAACAGGAUUAGAUACCCCUGUAGUC